AAUAUGCAAUCGAGCUCAGCCGACGUCCUCCAACCCGCGAGACUGCACCCUCACCCAUCACCUCCCUUCGCAACAUCGCAUCCAGAUUGAGGCCGCCGCGCUACCGCUACCUCCUCCCAGCCGAGCCACCACCAUCACUCCUGGUCAUCCUCCUCCCCGCCACCGUGCCCUCUCCACUGGCCGUCGCGUACGCCACCUCCAGCGAACACGCCUCCACGCAUCCUCCACGGGCAGCUCGCUGUCGCGACACAUCUUCUCUCUCUCUCUACGUGCGCCCUCGCCAGCCCGAGUCCUCUCUCUUCGCUCGCGCCGCCACCGGCACCGUGCCUGCGCUGCCUUGCAUCUCCCGACCACCAGUUGUCCUUCCCUUCAUCCUCCUCUCACCCAAACAGUCGUAUGGGCCCUUCGCCGCCGACCACGUGCUCGGGUGCAGCUACCUCCAAAUUUCCCAGACCGAGGCGGCACGACAGGCGUCCAGCGGCACCAUUCGGCUUUUGAAGAUGGAGCGGGUGCUGCUCGAGGAGGAUGAAGAGGACCGGUUGUUGAGGAAGUUGGGAAACACUAUAGACUAAACCUAAAGCUAGCAAGGGGCCUGGACAUCAGACUUGAACUUCUAAAGUUUUACAAGAAUUAUUCAGCAAACCUUAUACACUGUUUAUGGAAAGGAGAGCCUCGAUUGCAUUCAGGGCUUGGUCGAGCGUAUAUGUUUAGUGACAUAAAAAACAUUGAUCAGAGAUGCUUCAAAUAUGAUAUAAAUAGUGAGGAUGAAUUGUGCAUCUUGUUUGUUACUCUUCAUUGGGGUGACACAUUUGAUGAUCCAAUGCACAUGGCUAGCAGACCCUUUUGUAAAAAAUGGUCGUCUUGGUCCUUUCAAAUUACAAACAUAAAUAUAGAGGAAAACAUUGUCCCCUUUGUUUGGGAGCAAGUGGAAUAGAUUUUAUCAUAUUGCUAUAGGCAAGAGGGAUGAAUGAGUCGAAUUGGGGUAAAUAAAGGCAAUGCAAGCCAGGAACGCCCAAGGCGUCCGCAUCUCCAAGAUGGUCUUAGCUCUAUUUUGGACCAAUCAGUCUGAAAACAGAAGGGUUAUAUCUACAAGCAAUUGAUCUUCUCAGCUUUGAACAUUAUUAAUGUUUAUACUAUUGAAUGAUUGGCAUACUGAUAAAAUUUGAUGUUAAACUUGAAGGUCGAUGAUGAGGUAUAUGAUGCUUUGGCCGAACACCUUCUUUCUAUCUUGGAGGAUAUUGAAAAUUUGAUUCAAAGUAAGCCUUUCCUGUUGGUGCUGUUUCGGGACAUUGUUCGUUGCAUGGUCAUGUUCUUAUAUUGUAGACUUGCAGUUAUCAAAGCUGGGUUGGUUUUGAAUGUCCUGCACUAGGACAUGUUAAUUCUUGAACAUCGCCAAUCAAGUUUGUGGUCUGGUUGCUUUCACUCUUGAUUUUAAUUUUAAAAAACAUAGUUGGCUUGUAUUGUCCAACCUUUUUUUUGGUCAAGCGUACUAAACUACUAAUUUGCUUCCAAGAGAAUCUGUAGCGAUUGUUCAGUUAUCUAGCUUGGGAAUGGAUAAAUAUAUUUAAGAAAGUCUAUAUAGCCACCAGAUGUCUAUAAACUAUAGAGAUGAGACUGUUUAGGAUAUAGUUUUGAAGAAAACAUCUUAUCAUUCAUUUUUUCA
This 1663-nucleotide unclassified non-coding RNA is filed under the name Zea mays. RNAcentral's name for it is "misc RNA Zm00001eb207590". Lineage: Eukaryota; Viridiplantae; Streptophyta; Magnoliopsida; Poales; Poaceae. The record is from RNAcentral.